AUGAACGCUAGCGGCAGGCUUAAUACAUGCAAGUCGUGGGGCAGCAUGAGUAGCAAUACUUGAUGGCGACCGGCAAACGGGUGAGGAACACGUACACAACCUUCCUUCAAGCGGGGAAUAGCCCAGAGAAAUUUGGAUUAAUACCCAUAAUAUAUUUGAUAAGGCAUCUUAUUAAUAUUAAAGCUUCGGCACUUGAUGAUGGGUGUGCGGCUGAUUAGAUAGUUGGCGGGGUAACGGCCCACCAAGUCUACGAUCAGUAGCUGAUGUGAGAGCAUGAUCAGCCACACGGGCACUGAGACACGGGCCCGACUCCUACGGGAGGCAGCAGUAAGGAAUAUUGGACAAUGGACGAAAGUCUGAUCCAGCCAUGCCGCGUGAAGGAUUAAGGUCCUCUGGAUUGUAAACUUCUUUUAUAUGGGACGAAAAAGGGCAUUCUUGUUCACUUGACGGUACCAUAUGAAUAAGCACCGGCUAACUCCGUG
This 482-nucleotide ribosomal RNA is filed under the name uncultured bacterium. Its description in RNAcentral is "bacterial SSU rRNA". It matches the Rfam family "Bacterial small subunit ribosomal RNA", at positions 29 to 507 of the family's 1533-position model. The record is from RNAcentral.